This is a long non-coding RNA of Pezoporus occidentalis (night parrot), 990 nucleotides long. RefSeq lists it as uncharacterized. The transcript is spliced from 2 exons. The record is from RefSeq and is a predicted model, not a curated record. NCBI's taxonomy places the organism in Eukaryota, Metazoa, Chordata, Aves, Psittaciformes, Psittacidae.
UUUGUUCCUGCGGUUCAAUCAUCACGUUAGACAAAGAGGUUUCCUUGCUUUUAACAUCCAUGCAAUUUAUACCAGAAAUCUUAUGGAUGGCGGUGAAACCAUUGCAGCUUUCUGGGGACCUAAUGUUUUGAUCUAAGCCCUCAGUGUGUAUCUUGUUUUCUCCCAUCAAGAAAAUGCUGUACAUAAAUAUGGCAGAAGGGGGAUGAAAGCUGUAAGUUUAGACAUCUAACCCAGAUGCCAAGUUAAAAGCCUAGCCAAUGAAGAAGUACAAAAUCUACAUAAACUAGGAGCUUUUCUUUCACUAAUUACAGUGGCAGCCUGAGUUAAAUGGCUUACAUGAAUUCAUCCCCUUCCAAUGGCAGCAGUGAUUUGAAGCGGUUUGCUUCACCAGAGAGUUAACUUCCCCAUGAAAGUUUGCUUCACUAACUACCUAUGUAAACACUGACAUACACAUCUUGCAAAGACUUUUCUUUCCCCAGGUGAACUGCUGCAUCACCAGAUACCCAACAGGAAUCUCCUCCUAUAAGAUCCUUAAUAGCAGCAGCUGCUGAAGGGAAAGGAACUGCAGAGACGCACUUGUUGCCAAACUGUGCAUUUAGAUGGAAGGAGGAGAAACAGAUGGGGAAAUCACUCUUCAGACAGUAUUUACUAGCACAAUCAGCACCUGAGGCAGCACUUACUCAGGUGCUGAAAUUACAGAGAUAUUGGGGAGGAGCAUGGAAGAAGAGAAUCAAAGAUUAAGUGAUGGAGAAAGUGCCAUGCUCUGGAUCCAUAAGGACAAAAUGGGCAGAAAUAGGGACUGCACUUGCAAAAUAAUUGGGACGUCUCUCUGUUGUGAGGUAGGUGUUCUCACUGAAGGUCCUAGAGAUGUUUAUGUGUCAUUAAGAUGAUGAAAGGAGCUUUAACACCUGCCUGGUUGUAGGGAAACAGUGCUCCAUCAAGACCUAGAUCAUGCUACCUGUAAUAAAGUACUUAUAGGAUGAAAACAAA